GAUUAGCCAUGCAUGUCUAAGUACAUGCCGUAUUAAGGCGAAACCGCGAAUGGCUCAUUAAAUCAGUCAUGGUUCCUUGGAUCGUACCUUACUACUUGGAUAACUGUGGCAAUUCUAGAGCUAAUACAUGCAGCAGAGCUCCGACCUUCGGGGACGAGCGCUUUUAUUAGACCAAAACCAAUCGGACCUCGUGUCCGUCCUUUGUGGUGACUCUGUAUAACUUUGGGCUGAUCGCACGGGCCUGUCCCGGCGACGUAUCUUUCAAGUGUCUGCCUUAUCAACUUUCGAUGGUAGGUUACGCGCCUACCAUGGUCGUAACGGGUAACGGGGAAUCAGGGUUCGAUUCCGGAGAGGGAGCCUGAGAAACGGCUACCACAUCCAAGGAAGGCAGCAGGCGCGCAAAUUACCCACUCCCAGAACGGGGAGGUAGUGACGAAAAAUAACAAUACGGGACUCUUUUGAGACCCCGUAAUUGGAAUGAGUACACUCUAAAUCCUUUAACGAGGAUCCAUUGGAGGGUAAGUCUGGUGCCAGCAGCCGCGGUAAUUCCAGCUCCAAUAGCGUAUAUUAAAGUUGUUGCGGUUAAAAAGCUCGUAGUUGGAUCUCAGUUCCAGACGGGUGGUCCUCCUACCGGUGGCUACUGCCUGUUCUGAACAGUCAGCCGGUUUCUCUUGAUGAUCUUCACCGGUUGUCUUGGGUGACCGGCAAGUUUACUUUGAAAAAAUUAGAGUGCUCAAAGCAGGCGUGACGCCUGAAUAAUGGUGCAUGGAAUAAUGGAAUAGGACCUCGGUUCUAUUUUGUUGGUUUUCGGAACACGAGGUAAUGAUUAAGAGGGACAGACGGGGGCAUUCGUAUUGCGACGCUAGAGGUGAAAUUCUUGGACCGUCGCAAGACGAACUACUGCGAAAGCAUUUGCCAAGAAUGUUUCCAUUAAUCAAGAACGAAAGUUAGAGGUUCGAA
This 960-nucleotide ribosomal RNA is filed under the name Pireneitega muratovi. RNAcentral describes it as "SSU rRNA". It matches the Rfam family "Eukaryotic small subunit ribosomal RNA", at positions 42 to 1002 of the family's 1831-position model. The record is from RNAcentral. Lineage: Eukaryota; Metazoa; Arthropoda; Arachnida; Araneae; Agelenidae. RNAcentral also lists the same sequence under 1 other name.